GCAAUUAGCUGUGGGCUUUGUUUACCAUGGCAUACUAUUUUGCAGGAUAUUUUUCUUAUUCAACUGAUUACUUACUGAUGAUUAUUAGAACCCGCAAGAUGCUCAGCAAACGGUGUAGACUCUGAAGUUUCUAGAAAUAGUCAACCAGCGCUAGCUCUAAUUGUUUCCUUUGAUUUUGAGAUAGCUCAAUACCUUUUUUUUUUUUUUUUAAAAAAAAAAAUUAUGUAUCUUAUCUUUGAAUUACUUCUUUGUCCCAUUUUCUUCUUGAAAUAAGAAAUGGGCCUCUUUAAUCUUGUUUAACAAUCUGAUGCUAUUUAUUCAUUGUCAUAAUACCAAUAGUUGAGCUGUUUGUAAUGUAUAUGAUCACAUUGCUGUUGUCUGCACCCAGCUAUUAUUUAAUUUUUCUUGAACCUUAUUCUCAGUUUUUUUUUCUAUCUAGUUUUGAUGUCCUCCUUUUCUGUGUAUUUUAAAAUCUAUAUAUUAUUUAAAGCGAAGGAAAUUACGCAGCAUGUCAUCAUUACCUUUACCAACUUCCAGUUCAAUUGUAUUUCGUCCAGAUAUCUACGUUGCCUAGGAAAGCUUUUGCAGAUUAGGAGCUGUGUACUAAGUGGUAUAGGAUUUCGUCUUCUUGUUUGCUUGUUGCAUCCAAGCCAUUAUAUAGAUGGGGGAGAGAUGGUUUUCCUUCCUCAUCUCCCCCCUCUUCAUUUACAUCAGCUUAGCUCAAGUUUUAUCUCUGUUAAUAUACAACAUAUAGCAUAAUAUACUGGUCUCUUGAACUGAUUUCUUCAGGCUUCAAAGAUUUUCCAUUAUCUAGCUGAGACAACAUCAGCACAAGAAGCAUCUAUUUUAGCCAGAGAGACAUGAUCUCUGCUUGAAGCACCAGGGUCAAAAUCCACAUCGUGGUGCUUUUAUCAGAUUAUUCAGAGUUGUUUGGACUUUGGAGACCAAUUUCUCAUUCAAGUUUUGACUGGAAUCCUAGCUAUAGAGGAGGGAAUUUUCAUGUUCUGUAUGCUUGUGCCUUGCAGUUGAGUUGGCAUCAGAAGUACAAGUGUACUUCAGCUCAUUUAAUUUUCUUUCUGUUAUCUUAACCAAGUACAUCAACAGCUCUCGCUUUGUAGCAAGCGGGCAGGCAGUGCUAAUAACUUUUGGUUGACAUUAUCUCUUAUACAAGCAUUGUUGCCAGAUCUUCAUCCAGCUUGUUAUAGUCAUUGAUGAUACUCUCUCGCAGUGGAUGCAGCCUUAUGUACAACAAGCCUUAUUGAAGAUUAUAUCAACAUUGUCAUCACCAGCUUAUCAUCCACUUCUCCAUGGUUGUGCUGGCUAAUCAUCUUUAUUUCCACCGUCUUAUGUGCGUAUUUUCUGCUCUCUGCUUCACACUGUAUGAGUAUAUGUCUAAGUGACAAACAGAGUAACAGACAGUUGCUCAUUGAGCAGCUAAGCUGUAAAGCCUUUUGUAUAAUUACUUGCAUUAACUAUGGUGUGUUAUUCCUUAGGUAUUAAGAUUGUUCAAGUUUGUUUGUAUUGGCUUCAGUAGCCUAAUGUGCAUAUAUUCUUGUUUUGCUACUAGACUGAUCUUUACUUUUUUGGGGCCGUUUUUACUUGAAUCGGGUCUUUUUUGAAGAGGGGGAGGGGGCUGCAAAAGAAAUGUUAUCUUUUAGCUGGAUAUUUGAAGAACAGUAGAACACUAUGGCAGGGAUUGUUGGAGACUAAAACUUUUCUAAAAAAUGUCUUGGAUUUGAAGGGUUUUGAAUUUAGUUGGAGUCAUGGAAGGGAUGGAUUUAAGGGUUGCUAAGUUGAUCAUGUUUUUAAAGGUUAAUGAGCAUCCAAAUUGGUCAUAGAGUGGCAAGGGAUGAGGGUUUGUCUCUUAAUUCAUCAUAUAUAUUUUUCUUAAAAAUAUAUAAUUGUUGGUUGAUCUUGAGAAUAUAAGACUAAAAAGUAAAUGCAACAUUGGAAUAAAAUUAGGCUGGUUCAAUUCAUUGAUUAUAAACCUAUAUAAACAGGCGUUUCUGGGAUUAGAUGCUAAGUUAUAAUGUGCUAUAUGUGUUUAGUAGGCUCUUUUUUAUGUUAUUAUUAAUUAUAUAUUAAAAUGGAACGUGUUUAAAUGGCUUUACAUACAGAAAAUGAUAUAAUUUGAUGCCUGGUGCAAGCAAAAGCUGCUUUUGUCCUGAUUGACUUGUGCAGCUGUUCACUUGUAUCUUGGAUGCCUCGAAUCUUUGCCAAGGUUAAAACUAAGCAAAAAAGGACGCUCAUUCCUCUUUAUUUGAAGCUGCAAUUUACUGCUGAAUUUUAGGCUGUUGCUGGCUUGCUGCUGGGUUUUAGCAGCUUUUCAAAGGGGUUUAAUAAUUGCUGCAACUCUACUUAAUCUUUCUGCUUAAUUACAUAACUUUUCACUGUGAUUGUCCAUCUUUAUAGACUUUUACACCAUUAUCAUAUUGGAUGUGUUCUCUUAGAAAAAUGUUUUGUCAUAAUUGUGGCUACCCAAUGUUUGUGUUAUUUUCUACGCUUAUGUGGUUGUAGAAACUGUGACAACUCAUCCAUCCAUGCUUGCUUUUACCUUGUUUUGAUUCUGGAGAUAGCGAUGGAGCUAGUUGAGGGAGCUUUCCGGUUGAUAAUAUGUAGUUUUCUUUGUCAUAUUUUAAUGGUAAUGUUUAUGUUUGGCCUUGUUGAUGAGGUUCUAGUUGCUGUUAUGUUUUGAUGUUUCUAUAAACACGGAAGGAUAUAUGAUGUGCACGAUAACAAACUUUGAGUACUUCUUUAUAAGUUGCGAAUAAAAUACUUUAUGCAUCAUUGUUCCAACAGCUGAAAAACUGAUCGGUUAUAUAUAUUAUACAACGCACAUAUUUACAACGCACAUAUUUUACGUGAUUAACUCAACAGCCCAGUGGUCAGGG
Chenopodium quinoa (quinoa) is the source of this 2891-nucleotide long non-coding RNA. RefSeq lists it as uncharacterized. The record is from RefSeq and is a predicted model, not a curated record. The transcript has 3 exons. NCBI's taxonomy places the organism in Eukaryota, Viridiplantae, Streptophyta, Magnoliopsida, Caryophyllales, Amaranthaceae.